Molecule: ribosomal RNA, 248 nt
Filed under: uncultured bacterium
Lineage: Bacteria
Description: partial 16S ribosomal RNA
Rfam family: Bacterial small subunit ribosomal RNA
Source: RNAcentral
CGUCCGGCGACCGGCGCACGGGUGCGUAACGCGUAUGCAACCUACCCAUAACAGGGGGAUAACACUGAGAAAUUGGUACUAAUACCCCAUAACAUCAGGACCGGCAUCGGUUCUGGUUGAAAACUCCGGUGGUUAUGGAUGGGCAUGCGUUGUAUUAGCUGGUUGGUGAGGUAACGGCUCACCAAGGCAACGAUACAUAGGGGGACUGAGAGGUUAACCCCCCACAUUGGUACUGAGACACGGACCAA